GACGAACGCUGGCGGCGUGCCUAAUACAUGCAAGUUGAGCGCUGAAGGUUGGUACUUGUACCAACUGGAUGAGCAGCGAACGGGUGAGUAACGCGUGGGGAAUCUGCCUUUGAGCGGGGGACAACAUUUGGAAACGAAUGCUAAUACCGCAUAAAAACUUUAAACACAAGUUUUAAGUUUGAAAGAUGCAAUUGCAUCACUCAAAGAUGAUCCCGCGUUGUAUUAGCUAGUUGGUGAGGUAAAGGCUCACCAAGGCGAUGAUACAUAGCCGACCCGAGAGGGUGAUCGGCCACAUUGGGACUGAGACACGGCCCAAACUCCUACGGGAGGCAGCAGUAGGGAAUCUUCGGCAAUGGACGAAAGUCUGACCGAGCAACGCCGCGUGAGUGAAGAAGGUUUUCGGAUCGUAAAACUCUGUUGGUAGAGAAGAACGUUGGUGAGAGUGGAAAGCUCAUCAAGUGACGGUAACUACCCAGAAAGGGACGGCUAACUACGUG
RNAcentral lists this ribosomal RNA (497 nucleotides) under uncultured bacterium. RNAcentral describes it as "partial 16S ribosomal RNA". It matches the Rfam family "Bacterial small subunit ribosomal RNA", at positions 28 to 507 of the family's 1533-position model. The record is from RNAcentral.